Molecule: ribosomal RNA, 429 nt
Filed under: uncultured bacterium
Lineage: Bacteria
Description: bacterial SSU rRNA
Rfam family: Bacterial small subunit ribosomal RNA
Source: RNAcentral
UGGGGAAUAUUGCGCAAUGGGGGAAACCCUGACGCAGCGACGCCGCGUGAGCGAUGAAGGCCUUAGGGUUGUAAAGCUCUGUUUUAAGGGACGAAUGUUACGGGGAGUAAUAUACCCUAUAAAUGACGGUACCUUAAGAGGAAGCCCCGGCUAACUACGUGCCAGCAGCCGCGGUAAGACGUAGGGGGCGAGCGUUGUCCGGAAUUACUGGGCGUAAAGAGCACGUAGGCGGGAACUUAAGUCAGGUGUGAAAGACCGGGGCUCAACCUCGGGGGUACACUUGAAACUGGGUUUCUUGAGGGCAGGAGAGGAGAGUAGAAUUCCUGGUGUAGCGGUGAAAUGCGUAGAAAUCAGGAGGAAUACAAUUGGCGAAGGCGACUUUCUGGACUGAACCUGACGCUGAGGUGCGAAAGCGUGGGUAGCAAACAG